GACGGUCAACGGGCACUGGCGUGCUCCCUCGGCUGCAAACCGGGUGUCUCGUGAUCGGUCACGAGGCUGGGUUCGAUUCCCAGGGACCGUC
This 91-nucleotide transfer RNA is filed under the name Sulfobacillus acidophilus DSM 10332. RNAcentral describes it as "Selenocysteine transfer RNA". It matches the Rfam family "Selenocysteine transfer RNA". The record is from Rfam by way of RNAcentral. Lineage: Bacteria; Bacillati; Bacillota; Clostridia; Eubacteriales; Clostridiales Family XVII. Incertae Sedis.